This 253-nucleotide ribosomal RNA is filed under the name uncultured bacterium. Its description in RNAcentral is "partial 16S ribosomal RNA". It matches the Rfam family "Bacterial small subunit ribosomal RNA", at positions 524 to 776 of the family's 1533-position model. The record is from RNAcentral.
GACGUAGGGCGCGAGCGUUGUCCGGAUUUAUUGGGCGUAAAGAGCUCGUAGGCGGCUUGUCGCGUCGUCCGUGAAAACUUGGGGCUCAACCCCAAGCUUGCGGUCGAUACGGGCAGGCUCGAGUUCGGUAGGGGAGACUGGAAUUCCUGGUGUAGCGGUGAAAUGCGUAGAUAUCUGGAGGAACACCGGUGGCGAAGGCGGCAUUCUGGACCGACAUUGACGCUGAGGAGCGAAAGCCAGGGGAGCAAACGGG